This is a small nucleolar RNA of Camelus dromedarius (Arabian camel), 110 nucleotides long. The record is from Ensembl. NCBI's taxonomy places the organism in Eukaryota, Metazoa, Chordata, Mammalia, Artiodactyla, Camelidae.
GGGAUUUGAUUAAAAGUUUCCCGUUUACAACACACCCAACAGGAAUCUGGGUUCAUUGUGACAAGGGGCACAAAACUUGGGGCCAUCCUAUGAACAGAUACCUUACAUGU